Molecule: microRNA precursor, 102 nt
Filed under: Marmota monax (woodchuck)
Lineage: Eukaryota; Metazoa; Chordata; Mammalia; Rodentia; Sciuridae
Source: RNAcentral
AAUGGGAUAGCUGAGUCAAAUGGUGGUUCUAUUCCAAGUUUUCUAAGGAAUCUCUAUACUACUUUCCAGAUUGAUGCACCAAUUUGCAGUCCCAUUAGCAAU